UUAAGCGCAUAACGAUACAAAAACAAGUGAACAACUAUGAACACACGACUUCGUGUUAAAAUUGGGUCAAAACAAACAGAUAUGCUAUCUGCCUCGUACUGAAAUGUACUAGAGGUAAAACAUUGGCAUUCUCGAAGAACGCGUUCAUUUCCAAAAUGAAGACCAUUAUGUCAGUUUCGGCAUGUUGGUUGUUACUUGUUUUUAUACACAUUGAAGCCGUAAAAGAUGAGGAUUUUCAAUCACUGCUUGUCAGGCUUUCAGUGCUCGAAGAAAAACAAGUUGUUCUUGAAACGGAAAAUAAGUUGUCACAAAAAAGAAUCGCCGACUUAGAAAAAUACAAGUUACUGUCCGACAAAAGAGUCGCAUCGCUUGAACGAAAAAUUGCAUUAUGUCACAGAAGACAAUAUGCGCUUGAUAUUGUAAAGAACAUCGCACUUGAAACCGACAAGCUACUGUCUGACACUACCACCACAACAAAUGGAUACGACAAGACUCUGUCUGACAAGAUGUUCGCCUCCCUUGUUAAUGGCAGAAUACUAUCGGACAGAAAAAUCGCCACGCCCGAGAACGACAAUGAAGUAUCACACAACCGGAGUGGUAAAGAUAACAGUUACUCUGCUGCAGUUGAAAUUGAAGAUCGGUCAGCUGCUGUACUUCAAUCCAAACACAGACGAUUUGUUGCAGAAGGGACUGUAGCAUUUUCUACAAUCAAAUUAGCAAAUCAAGAGCAUAUUGGCAUUAAGCAGAACAUCAUCUUCGAGCAGGUUCUUACAAAUGAAGGAGGCGGGUACCAUCAAAACUACGGUGUCUUCAUUGCUCCACAAUCCGGCAUUUACGUCUUCUCGUCGGUCAUUUUUUGUGUUUCCCAAAUGGGUUGGUUGAAGCUGAAAUAGUUCAUAACGGAAACGCGAUCAAUAACAUUUACUGCCAUGGUGACAGUGGGAGACACGAUCAAGGCAGUCAGACGGCUGUCAUAAAGAUGAAUGCUGGUGAUGAAGUCGGGGUUCGAAAUCAUUUCACUGCAGAUGAUGGUAUCUGGGGUAGUGGGUUUUCGUCAUUCAGUGGCUAUUUAGUAUGGCUGCAAUAAUUCAAGUGUUACCGGCAAAUGAUAUCUACUGUCGGCAUAUUAGUUUACCCAUGCAAAUAAAACUAGUUAUGCAAAUAGAA
Dreissena polymorpha is the source of this 1167-nucleotide long non-coding RNA. RefSeq lists it as uncharacterized. The record is from RefSeq and is a predicted model, not a curated record. The transcript has 2 exons. Lineage: Eukaryota; Metazoa; Mollusca; Bivalvia; Myida; Dreissenidae.